This 1812-nucleotide unclassified non-coding RNA is filed under the name Hevea brasiliensis (rubber tree). The record is from RNAcentral. Lineage: Eukaryota; Viridiplantae; Streptophyta; Magnoliopsida; Malpighiales; Euphorbiaceae.
AUAACAGCAGCUCCAAAACUCCUAGCAGGGUUGAUGCCAGUGCCAGUAAUUGGAAUAGUGGCAAGGUGAACCAUGAACACAGCAAAUCCAAUUGGAAGUGGAGCCAAAACGGGCACAUGGGAGUCUCUGGCACUCCUCUUUGGGUCUGUGGCGGAGAACACUGUGUAGACCAAAACAAAAGUACCGAUGAUCUCGGCACCCAAUCCAACGCCUGUGCUGUACCCAUUAGCCAGACUGUUGGCCCCACCACCAUACCUCUUAUAGUGGGAACUCUGGAAGGCCUUCACCAAUCCGACACCGGCUAUGGCUCCUAAGCACUGAGCCACCAUGUACAUCACGGCCCGCACCAAUGAGAUCUUUCGGGCCAGGAACAACCCGAAUGUCACUGCUGGGUUAAUGUGCCCUCCUGAAAUACCAGCAGUGCAGUAAACAAGAAUAAAGAUCAUGCCACCGAAAGCCCAAGCGAUGCCAAGAAUUCCAACACCACCACAAGCGUCAUGAGUCUUGGCAGGAUCAGUCUGGCUCUUAUAGCCAAUUACAGUCAAAACAGUGAUGUAAAGGAAGAGCAAAGUUGCUAUAAAUUCAGCAAUCAGAGCCCUGUAAAAUGACCACUUGGUUAGCUCCACCGCAUCAAUCAAUGGUGCUGGUGGUGGGUCAUGGUAGUCCUUGGCAGAGAAUGAUCCUUGUUCUGUAAUGUCCUUUACCAUGAUCGACAAUUGCGCUUAAAUCAGCUUCUCAGAAGACAAACAACAAGAAGUUCCCUUAAUACACAGAGAGAGGGAGAGAGAUUGAAAAAGUUGUUUAGCUAUUUUUGAGUUCUUAUGAUUAAAACAUGCCAAAUUUAACUUAACCAAUUUUUGAUGGCCUCUAACUAAUAUAUUUAAAGUGGUGCUUUUCUCAACAACAAUUCCAAAUGGACCCAAAAUCUGUUUGCUCCUGCUAUUCUGAGCUCUAUUUGAUUUAUUUAAUUGCAUAACUUAUGUCCAUUAUGGGUCUUUUGAUCCAAGCCCAUAAAAUGCCAAGAAAGCCAAGGCCCAAUGACUCUUAUUAUGAACCUGAGGUUUUGAGCCCCGUAGCCCAAUAUGAGCAGUUUUUUGUUGAUUCAAAAUACAACAUGUGGAGCAGUUUUAUCUUUCAAAAACAUGGAGGAGUGGAGCACGGGAGGUGUUAACAAAAACUCAACUGAAGUGUUUUUGAAUAUACUGCUAUGGUUAUGGUUUUGAUAUGAAGGACAUUAAGGCUUGUUUAAUUUUGCUGUGCGCAAGGAGACUAGCUCUUGGCAGAGGAGGUUUGUUUGGAUGGCAUUCUAAAGCAUAUUCCUUGGCGUAACUUGCAGCAAUUAUUAAGCCUUUAAUUUAGCUUUCUUUCUUAAGUAAUUUUUGUGGAGAUUCACUGUGUUCUUGGUAACCCUUAGAAUGUGGAUAUUAUGGGUGAUUCUUUCUACCAUGUGAUGAUGUAUGGAUUGGUGAUUCAAGGUUGAGUUCUAGGGUUUAUGCAUGUUAGCCUUAGUUUCUUGAGUUUUAAAUUCCAACAUUGGUAUCAGAGUGUCUGGUUCUUGUUUUCCUAGUCUGUGUUUGAUGCAUGACGUGAUAUACAUGAGCUAAAAUGAUGAUAAUAGCUUGUGGUAUAUGUUUUUGCAAUUCUAGAUUUUUUGAAACAUGAUCAAGAUGCCAUGUUUGAGCAUUUAUUUCUCUUUGUUUGAUUGUCCUUAGUACGUAUUAUUCAUGCCAUAUGAAAGUAUAGAUUCUUAGCUUUCUGUAGGUAUAUUAUUUGCUUAAUUUGGAUUACAAACGAGAGAGAUGAACCCUCAAA